RNAcentral lists this ribosomal RNA (468 nucleotides) under uncultured bacterium. RNAcentral describes it as "partial 16S ribosomal RNA". It matches the Rfam family "Bacterial small subunit ribosomal RNA", at positions 28 to 507 of the family's 1533-position model. The record is from RNAcentral.
GACGAGCGCUGGCGGCGUGCUUAACACAUGCAAGUCGAACGGAAAGGCCCUGCUUUUGUGGGGUGCUCGAGUGGCGAACGGGUGAGUAACACGUGAGUAACCUGCCCUUGACUUUGGGAUAACUUCAGGAAACUGGGGCUAAUCUCGGAUAGGAGCUCCUGCUGCAUGGUGGGGGUUGGAAAGUUUCGGCGGUUGGGGAUGGACUCGCGGCUUAUCAGCUUGUUGGUGGGGUAGUGGCUUACCAAGGCUUUGACGGGUAGCCGGCCUGAGAGGGUGACCGGCGACAUUGGGACUGAGAGACGGCCCAGACUCCUACGGGAGGCAGCAGGGGGGAAUAUUGCACAAUGGGCGGAAGCCUGAUGCAGCAACGCCGCGUGCGGGAUGACGGCCUUCGGGGUGUAAACCGCUUUCGCCUGUGACGAAGCGUGAGUGACGGUAAUGGGUAAAGAAGCACCGGCUAACUACGUG